Molecule: ribosomal RNA, 968 nt
Filed under: uncultured archaeon
Lineage: Archaea
Description: bacterial SSU rRNA
Rfam family: Archaeal small subunit ribosomal RNA
Source: RNAcentral
CGUCUGCUAGUACACGUGGACACCUACCCUAAGGAGGGGGAUAACCCCGGGAAACUGGGGAUAAUACCCCAUAGACUAGAGAAGCUGGAAUGCUCUCAAGUCCAAAGGUCCGCCGCCUUAGGAUGGGUCUGCGGUCGAUUAGGUUGUUGUUGGGGUAACGGCCCAACAAGCCCGUGAUCGAUACGGGUUGUGAGAGCAAGAGCCCGGAGAUGGAUUCUGAGACACGAAUCCAGGCCCUACGGGGCGCAGCAGGCGCGAAAACUUUACAAUGCGGGCAACCGUGAUAAGGGAACCCCGAGUGCCCGUAAAUUCGGGCUGUCCAUCAGCGUAAAUAACUGGUGAAGAAAGGGCCGGGCAAGACCGGUGCCAGCCGCCGCGGUAAUACCGGCGGCUCGAGUGGUGGCCACUAUUAUUGGGCUUAAAGCGUCCGUAGCUUGGUUGUUAAGUCUCUUGGGAAAUCUACCGGCUCAACCGGUAGGCGUUCAGGAGAUACUGGCAAUCUAGGGACCGGGAGAGGUGAGAGGUACUCCAGGGGUAGGAGUGAAAUCCUGUAAUCCUUGGGGGACCACCUGUGGCGAAGGCGUCUCACUAGAACGGCUCCGACAGUGAGGGACGAAAGCUGGGGGAGCAAACCGGAUUAGAUACCCGGGUAGUCCCAGCUGUAAACGAUGCGCGUUAGGUGUAUCGGUGACCACGAGUCACCGAGGUGCCGAAGGGAAACCGUGAAACGUGCCGCCUGGGAAGUACGGUCGCAAGGCUGAAACUUAAAGGAAUUGGCGGGGGAGCACCACAACAGGUGGAGCCUGCGGUUUAAUCGGACUCAACGCCGGAAAGCUCACCGGAUAAGACAGCGGAAUGAUAGCCGGGCUGAAGACUCUGCUUGACUAGCUGAGAGGAGGUGCAUGGCCGUCGUCAGUUCGUACUGUGAAAGCAUCCUGUUAAGUCAGGUAACGAGCGAGACCCGANUU